GCGGCCUUAGCUCAGCUGGGAGAGCGUCAGACUGAAGUUCCAACUUCAAGUCACUUGAUAUCUGAAGGUCGUGUGUUCGAUCCACACAGGCCGCA
RNAcentral lists this transfer RNA (95 nucleotides) under Trichoderma viride. Its description in RNAcentral is "tRNA-Phe". It matches the Rfam family "tRNA". Rfam says of the family: Transfer RNA (tRNA) molecules are approximately 80 nucleotides in length. Their secondary structure includes four short double-helical elements and three loops (D, anti-codon, and T loops). Lineage: Eukaryota; Fungi; Ascomycota; Sordariomycetes; Hypocreales; Hypocreaceae. RNAcentral also lists the same sequence under 7 other names. The record is from RNAcentral.